AAGUCGUAACAAGGUUUCCGUAGGUGAACCUGCGGAAGGAUCAUUAUUGAAUAAACCUGGCUUGGUUGUUGCUGGUCUUUUCGGAGACAUGUGCACGCCUUGUCAUCUUUAUAUUUCCACCUGUGCACCUUUUGUAGACUUGAAGACAGUUUUCCGAGGCAACUCGGUCGUGAGGAAAUGCUUUAAAUGGCUUUCCUUGAUUGUCUUCAAGCCUAUGUUUCAUAUACACCAUAAGAAUGUAACAGAAUGUCAUUAUUAGACUUAUGUCUUAUAAACUAUAUACAACUUUCAACAACGGAUCUCUUGGUUCUG
RNAcentral lists this unclassified non-coding RNA (312 nucleotides) under Stropharia rugosoannulata. RNAcentral describes it as "partial internal transcribed spacer region". The stretch from base 1 to 46 matches the Rfam family "Eukaryotic small subunit ribosomal RNA", at positions 1786 to 1831 of the family's 1831-position model. Lineage: Eukaryota; Fungi; Basidiomycota; Agaricomycetes; Agaricales; Strophariaceae. The record is from RNAcentral.